GACGAACGCUGGCGGCGUGCUUAACACAUGCAAGUCGAACGGAAAGGCCCUGCUUUUGUGGGUUUCUCGAGUGGCGAACGGGUGAGUAACACGUGAGUAACCUGCCCUUGACUUUGGGAUAACUUCAGGAAACUGGGGCUAAUACCGGAUAGGAUCUCCUGCUGCAUGUUGUGGGUUGGAAAGUUUCGGCGGUUGGGGAUGUACUCGCGGCUUAUCAGCUUGUUGGUGUGGUAGUUGCUUACCAAGGCUUUGACGGGUAGCCGGCCUGAGAGGGUGACCGGCCACAAUGGGACUGAGAGACGGACCAGAAUCCUACGGGAGGCAGCAGUGGGGAAUAUUGCACAAUGGGCGGAAGCCUGAUGCAGAAACGCCGCGUGCGGGAUGACGGCCUUCGGGUUGUAAACCGCUUUCGCCUGUGACGAAGAGUGAGUGACGGUAAUGGGUAAAGAAGCAACGGCUAACUACGUG
Molecule: ribosomal RNA, 468 nt
Filed under: uncultured bacterium
Lineage: Bacteria
Description: partial 16S ribosomal RNA
Rfam family: Bacterial small subunit ribosomal RNA
Source: RNAcentral